AACGUAGGAGGCAAGCGUUAUCCGGAGUUACUGGGCGUAAAGGGCGUGUAGGUGGGUCGCUAAGUUGGUUAUGAAAGCUCGUGGCUAAACCGCGAGAGGCUGACCAAGACUGGCAAUCUGGAGUGGAGGAGAGGUCAACGGAAUUCCGCGUGUAGUGGUGAAAUGCGUAGAGAUGCGGAAGAACACCGGUGGCGAAGGCGGUUGACUGGCCUCCAACUGACACUGAGACGCGAAAGCAUGGGUAGCGAACGGG
Molecule: ribosomal RNA, 253 nt
Filed under: uncultured bacterium
Lineage: Bacteria
Also listed under: 1 other name
Description: partial 16S ribosomal RNA
Rfam family: Bacterial small subunit ribosomal RNA
Source: RNAcentral